GGAGGGAUGCCCGAGUGGCUAAAGGGGGCGGACUGUAAAUCCGUUGGCAGUGCCUACGAUGGUUCGAAUCCAUCUCCCUCCA
This 82-nucleotide transfer RNA is filed under the name Oligoflexales bacterium. RNAcentral's name for it is "tRNA-Tyr". It matches the Rfam family "tRNA". Rfam says of the family: Transfer RNA (tRNA) molecules are approximately 80 nucleotides in length. The record is from RNAcentral. Lineage: Bacteria; Pseudomonadati; Bdellovibrionota; Oligoflexia; Oligoflexales.